UACGUAGGGGCAAGCGUUAUCCGGAUUUACUGGGUGUAAAGGGAGCGCAGACGGAACUGCAAGUCUGAUGUGAAAGCCCGGGGCUCAACCGCGGGACUGCAUUGGAAACUGUAGAUCUGGAGUGCCGGAGGGGCAAGCGGAAUUCCUGGUGUAGCGGUGAAAUGCGUAGAUAUCAGGAGGAACACCAAUGGCGAAGGCAGGUCUCUGGGCAGUUACUGACGCUGAGGAGCGAAAGCAUGGGUAGCGAACAGGAUUAGAUA
Molecule: ribosomal RNA, 260 nt
Filed under: uncultured prokaryote
Description: partial 16S ribosomal RNA
Rfam family: Bacterial small subunit ribosomal RNA
Source: RNAcentral